Molecule: transfer RNA, 65 nt
Filed under: Nonomuraea dietziae
Lineage: Bacteria; Bacillati; Actinomycetota; Actinomycetes; Streptosporangiales; Streptosporangiaceae
Description: tRNA-Ser
Source: RNAcentral
GCGGGCGUGAUCUUGAAAGAGUUCCCAAGCUGACAGCGCGGGUUCGAUUCCCGUCACCCGCUCCA